RNAcentral lists this ribosomal RNA (436 nucleotides) under uncultured bacterium. Its description in RNAcentral is "bacterial SSU rRNA". It matches the Rfam family "Bacterial small subunit ribosomal RNA", at positions 12 to 452 of the family's 1533-position model. The record is from RNAcentral.
UUUGAUCCUGGCUCAGAUUGAACGCUGGCGGCAUGCCUUACACAUGCAAGUCGAACGGUAACGCGGGGCAACCUGGCGACGAGUGGCGAACGGGUGAGUAAUGCAUCGGAACGUGCCCAGUAGUGGGGGAUAGCCCGGCGAAAGCCGGAUUAAUACCGCAUACGACCUACGGGUGAAAGGGGGGGAUCGCAAGACCUCUCGCUAUCGGAGCGGCCGAUGUCAGAUUAGGUAGUUGGUGGGGUAAAAGCCUACCAAGCCAACGAUCUGUAGCUGGUCUGAGAGGACGACCAGCCACACUGGGACUGAGAGACGGCCCAGACUCCUACGGGAGGCAGCAGUGGGGAAUUUUGGACAAUGGGCGCAAGCCUGAUCCAGCCAUGCCGCGUGCGGGAAGAAGGCCUUCGGGUUGUAAACCGCUUUUGUCAGGGAAGAAAAG